UGGGGAAUAUUGGACAAUGGGCGCAAGCCUGAUCCAGCAAUGCCGCGUGUGUGAAGAAGGCCUUCGGGUUGUAAAGCACUUUUAUCAGGAGCGAAACGCUGUCGGCUAAUACCCGGCGGAACUGACGGUACCUGAGGAAUAAGCACCGGCUAACUUCGUGCCAGCAGCCGCGGUAAUACGAAGGGUGCAAGCGUUAAUCGGAAUUACUGGGCGUAAAGCGUGCGUAGGCGGUUUCUUAAGUCUGCUGUGAAAUCCCCGGGCUCAACCUGGGAAUGGCAGUGGAUACUGGGAGGCUAGAGUGUGUCAGAGGGUGGUGGAAUUCCCGGUGUAGCGGUGAAAUGCGUAGAGAUCGGGAGGAACAUCAGUGGCGAAGGCGGCCACCCGGGACAACACUGACGCUGAGGCACGAAAGCGUGGGGAGCAAACAGGAUUAGAUACCCUGGUAGUCCACGCCCUAAACGAUGCGAACUGGAUGUUGGUCUCAACUCGGAGAUCAGUGUCGAAGCUAACGCGUUAAGUUCGCCGCCUGGGGAGUACGGUCGCAAGACUGAAACUCAAAUGAAUU
RNAcentral lists this ribosomal RNA (565 nucleotides) under uncultured bacterium. RNAcentral describes it as "partial 16S ribosomal RNA". It matches the Rfam family "Bacterial small subunit ribosomal RNA", at positions 355 to 911 of the family's 1533-position model. The record is from RNAcentral.